RNAcentral lists this long non-coding RNA (17537 nucleotides) under Capsicum annuum. RNAcentral's name for it is "long non-coding RNA (CANN_LNC008009)". Lineage: Eukaryota; Viridiplantae; Streptophyta; Magnoliopsida; Solanales; Solanaceae. The record is from RNAcentral.
GAAGAGUCAGUUAAAGCCCAUUCUUCUCAUCUUCACACAUUUCUCUCCUCCUCUCUCUUGCCAUGGCUUCUUCCUCCCUCCCUCUCUCUCAGGCCAUCCUCUCUCGCUCAAUCCCUCGCCAUGGCUCCUCUUCCUCCACCAACUCCCAAUUCUCCCCUUCUUCCCUUUCCCUCCCCACUUUCUCCGGCCUCAAAUCCACCACCUCCACCACCUUCCGCCGCCGCACUCUUCCGUCCCCCGUCGCCGUACGGUCGCCGGAAAUUAGAGCUUCGGCGGCUGUGGAGACUUUAGAGAAAACGGAUAAUGCACUGGUUGAGAAAUCUGUAAAUACGAUACGAUUUUUGGCAAUUGAUGCAGUUGAAAAGGCCAAUUCAGGUCAUCCAGGUUUACCUAUGGGAUGUGCACCUAUCGGACAUAUAUUGUAUGAUGAGAUCAUGAGAUAUAAUCCUAAGAAUCCUUAUUGGUUUAAUCGUGAUCGCUUUGUUCUCUCCGCUGGACAUGGUUGUAUGCUUCAGUAUGCUUUGCUUCAUCUCGCUGGUUAUGAUGCUGUUAGGGUAACGUCUUUUAACUCUUAUUUUAUCCGUUAAUUGGUGUAUGCAUGAGUGGAUCUAUAUAUUUUCGUAAAAAACAUACUUAAACUAUGACGAUUUUUGGAGUUUCAUACUUUUGAACUAUCAGGUGAGUUUUUUAUUCGAACUAUCACCAAUUAUUUAUCAAAAUAUACCUCAACUAUCAAUUGUUCCUUUUUUUUUUUCCCAUCUGAACGAGUAUCUCAUUUUUUUCAAGUUUCACAUCUCAGCUAUCAAUUGUUCCAUUUUCCUAAGUGAACUAUCACUAACUAUUUAUCAAAACAUACUAUUUUUUUCAAGUUUCACAUCUCAACUAUCAAUUGUUCCAUUUUUCUGCCUUAACUAUCACCAACUAUUUAUCAAAACACACCGACAAUUUUAGUUGUUCUCUUUUCCUAUCUGAUAUAUCAUCAUCGUUCAGGUAAGAAAAGGUAACGAUUGAUAGUUGAGGCCCGUUUUGAUAAAUAGUUGGUGAUAGUUCAGGUAAGAAACUUGCACACCUAGUAGUUAAGAUCUGAAACUCAAAAAAUUGAGAUACUUUUGAUGUGGUUUUGACUCUUUUGUAUUUUAUUGUUGUGUAAUUGGAUCUAUGUAAUGCCCCUCUAGCAAGUAAAAUCUUCUCACCUUUUUGAGUUUUGGCAUGACCGGGAAAUAAUUUCCAUUAUUAGGACAUCUUCUGGUGUUCUGCUGAUGAAAAUAUGUUUCACUAAAAGGGGAAAUUGCUUGUGGGCUUAUGGGGUGCUGUCAUUUUUCUUUACAACUAUUUUAGCUCUUACUCCAUAUCACUUCCUUCAAGCAGCAAUUACACAUUGUUAUUAGUCUUUGAUACUCGAAAAGAUUUUAUUGAAGCACUAUCUAUUUGCCAUAAAUACUUUUUUGGAAGUUAUUUUUCACUCACAAAUCGACCACUCACUUGAAAAUCAGUGUGUAAGCCACGGAUUACCCUGGAAAGCAUUUUUUCAUGGAAAACAUUUCUCUUCAUCCCAAUUCCCAAAGGACAUGUCUUUCUGGUAUCCCACGCUGUUCUGGUAUAGCCACUUCAUUUGCGUUUGGUGUGGAAGAAAAUGUUUUUAUGAAAGAAUAUUUUUCUUGGGGAAUCUUUUUCUGUUUAAGUAAAAGUUGAAUCCUUCAAGUUGUAGGACAAGAUAUAAAGAUAGUGUUUGAUUGGCAAAAUCUGAGUACAAGUGCUGGUUGAAGUAAAGUGAUAUGAAAAGGAACGGGAUGUUUGUCAAAGAAAAUUAAUUCUCAUUUUUGGUGCAAAAUAUUUUGCCAGUGUAACGUUUUUCACAAUUUUGGGUAACCAAAUUCUGGAAAAUAGUUUCCUCAUGGAAUACAUUUUCAAAGAAAAAUAUCUCCUCCAUACUGAGCACUGAAAACUGAAACAUGAUUUUGGUACACUUUGGACAUUUUACUGAUGAAUUUAUCUUUAUCUUUUAGCUUAAUGAGCUGAUGUUCUUGAAGUGUGUUUUUGUAGUUAGAAUUUACUUAUAUUAUAUUUUAAGUUAAUUUUCGUCAUUAUGCUUUUUAAAUUGUGUUGAUUAUGAUUACUAUUGUAUUUUGACUAGGAAGAGGACUUGAAGAGCUUCCGCCAGUGGGGAAGCAAAACCCCUGGACACCCUGAAAACUUUGAGACACCUGGUGUUGAAGUCACCACUGGUUAGUGCACUUUUUUAUAUGUCCGUGUACGUUAAUUAGAUUUCUAUCUGGUGGUGGAUUACGUAUAUUUGGGUACGUGGCUUGUCAUCGAGAGUUGUAUAACUGAUUAUGAUUUUUAUUUUCGUGCGGUUAGGGCCUCUUGGACAAGGGAUUGCCAAUGCCGUUGGCUUGGCCCUCUCAGAGAAGCACUUGGCUGCUCGUUUCAAUAAGCCUGGCGCUGAGAUUGUAGACCACUACACGUGGGUCUCCCCACUCUCUCUCUCUCUUUUCCUUUUGAAUGCCAUAAACAAUUGUAUCACUUAAUGCAGCCUGUUUUGUUUGUCUAAUGGCACCGGUGAUCAUGCAGAUAUUGUAUUCUCGGUGAUGGUUGCCAGAUGGAGGGUAUUUCACAAGAAGCGGCUUCUCUUGCUGGACACUGGGGGCUCGGAAAGCUGAUUGCUUUCUAUGAUGACAACCACAUCUCAAUUGAUGGGGACACAGAAAUCGCUUUCACUGAGGAUGUUGGUGCCCGUUUUGAGGCUCUUGGUUGGCAUGUAAUCUGGGUGAAGAACGGUAACACUGGUUAUGAUGAGAUUCGUGCUGCCAUUAAGGAAGCAAAAGCAGUCACAGACAAACCCACUAUGAUCAAGGUAUUUUACACACUGCUUCUUUUUGUUAGGUACUAGGAGGUGAUCCUGGGAAAGUUGUAUUACGGUUGAGUUAUUGUAUAGACUUUACUGCAUCUUUUGGCCCUUGUUUCUUAUUGAUAACUUUAUAUUUCAUUUUUGCAACCCAUUUCCUUUAUUUUUGUUUUCUCAAUCAGGAUGCAUGGUUAAUUCAUUUUAGUAAUGUUAUUAUAAGGUUCCUUCAGAGAUAUUCAGUUCAUAUCAUUUAUCAUUAGGUUUACGGAACCUUCCUCCUUUCAGGUAACUACAACCAUUGGUUUUGGCUCACCCAACAAGGCAAAUAGUUACAGUGUACAUGGAAGCGCACUUGGAGCUAAGGAAGUAGAGGCCACGAGGCAGAACUUGGGAUGGCCUUAUGAGCCUUUCCAUGUGCCUGAAGAUGUCAAGAGGUACUAUUCCGUUCCCGUUUUCCAGAUUCAUUUGAACAUUACUGGUAACUUACUAAUAACUAUUGGUGCUACUUCUUGCAGCCACUGGAGCCGUCAUGUUCCCGAGGGUGCUGCUCUUGAAGCUGGAUGGAAUACCAAGUUUGCUGAAUAUGAGAAGAAGUACCCAGAGGAAGCUGCAGAUCUCAAAUCCAUCAUCACUGGUGAACUACCUGCUGGCUGGGAGAAAGCUCUUCCUGUAAGUAGUCAAUUUCAUUGUUCUCUCUCCUAUUGAAAAGCUGACUUCAGCUGCUUUUGGUUUGCACUAUCUUUAUGUUGAUUUCUUAGCUUUUGGGUGGAGUUUUUAUACCUUGCCUCCUAAUAUAGACAAGAGUUUGUUUCAUUUGUACUCCUGUUCUUUUAUCUUCCCUGAUUUGGGGAAAUCACAUUUCCCCAGCAAAUCAAUUAUUUUGCAUCACAGUUCCCCAGCAGGCUACCGUCUAACGACCCCCUUGUUGUGUUAAGUCAUACUUUACUAUCUAAUCGUUCUACCUGAAUUGAUACUCGUCUAGUUCCACAACAUGUAAAUAAAUCUAUACUGAUUUAGUUAUUUGCUUGCUUUCUUAAUCUCAGACCUACACACCUGAAAGUCCAGCAGAUGCCACCAGAAACCUGUCCCAACAAAACCUGAAUGCUCUUGCCAAGGUUCUUCCUGGUUUCCUCGGUGGUAGUGCUGAUCUUGCCUCAUCAAACAUGACCCUCAUGAAAAUGUUUGGCGAUUUCCAAAAGAACACCCCAGAGGAGCGAAAUUUAAGGUUUGGUGUUCGUGAACAUGGUAUGGGAGCCAUUUGUAAUGGAAUUGCUCUGCACAGCCCCGGCUUAAUUCCCUACUGUGCCACUUUCUUUGUUUUUACUGAUUACAUGAGAGCAGCCAUUAGAAUUUCAGCUUUGUCUGAAUCGCGUGUUAUCUAUGUUAUGACCCACGAUUCAAUUGGGCUUGGAGAAGAUGGACCUACACAUCAGCCCAUUGAGCACUUGGCAAGUUUCCGUGCAAUGCCCAAUGUUCUGAUGCUCCGUCCAGCAGAUGGUAAUGAGACAGCUGGUGCUUAUAAGGUGGCCAUCCUCAAGAGUAAGACACCAUCAAUCCUGGCCCUUUCUCGACAAAAGUUGCCCCAACUUGCUGGAACUUCUAUUGAAGGAACAGCAAAGGGUGGCUACGUUACAUCAGACAACUCUUCAGGCAACAAUCCUGAUGUCAUUUUGAUUGGUACCGGGUCAGAGCUGGAAAUUGCUGUCAAGGCUGCUGAUGAACUCAGAAAGGAAGGAAAGGCGGUGAGAGUUGUCUCCCUCGUUUCUUGGGAGCUUUUCGAUGAGCAAUCAGCGGAGUACAAGGAAAGUGUUCUUCCAGCAGCUGUUACUGCUAGAGUUAGCAUUGAAGCUGGAUCCACAUUUGGGUGGGAGAAGAUCGUCGGAUCCAAAGGGAAGGCCAUUGGAAUUGACAGAUUCGGUGCCAGUGCCCCUGCUGGAAAAAUAUACAAGGAGUAUGGAAUUACAGCAGAGGCUGUAAUAGCUGCAGCUAAACAAGUCUCUUAAGCUCUUAUUACUUGCCCUUGGUUACUGGUGUCUACCAAAGUUGUUUUGUUUUGAUUCUGAGAUCGGAGACAAUGGUUGUAACCGAUACCAAGUGGACUCGGCAGUUAAUCGUUGCCUGAGUAUUUUCAAUAAAGAUAAUUUCUUCAUCUGCGUUUCGUUUUCUUCAGUUUGAACAGCGGGGUGGCCGGAAUGAUCUCAAGAUGAGGAUAGAAAUAGGCCUUUAUGGAUGGCUCCUGACCAAGUACACUUAAAAAUGUAUCUUUGAGUUUGUAAUUUUUAUUUGGUCGAGUGAUAACGAGGUCCAAUUUUCAAUUGGAAUUUCAUGUAUUCUGGUAACACAUGGCUUUCUUUGUCUUCACUAUAGUUAUCCUUUUGCGGCCAUCUAUUCCAAAGCAAUUGGAUCUUUUGGCAGCAUCGAUGACAAAGUCUGCAACUGAUGGAAGUAAAUAUACCGCUAAACUGUAUUUUGUUUCUACAAGCUUUUCUGCUGAAGUUUAAAUGGUUGAGAAGUUUUAAUCACUAGUGAUAAUUUUAACUGGUCAUAAAACUGAUCUGCUGAUCAGGAAUUGAAUAACUGUAUUUCUCUUUCAUUAGCUUUUGGUUCUAAGCCAUGGAAAUCUAAUCUUCAAAGCAAAAAAGUGAGUCCUUCUAGGCUGAAUGAGUUUUCUUUAUCCAUAAUUAAAUGUUGCAGGUUCAAGUUCCAAUAAGAUUAUGGAGUCAUUUCUUCAUCCUUAAUUGAAUGUUUCAAGUUUGUUUUUUAGAAAUUGAGACAUUUCUGAUGGUAAGUAGUACUAUUUUUUCCCCUUUAGUGGAUAUUACUAUUACCUAACGUGAAUUUGAAUAAUCGAGUUUAGAGUCGUCAAAAUGGACUUGGCCCUUGAAACCGACCCAACCCACCACGCUAUAACGGUUGGAUUGUGAUUUUUGAGUUCAUUUAAAAUCGCGGCUUAUAAACUCAGCCCAAGUCAGCCUGUUGGUCCUUGAGACUUGAUUGAGGCUGGUUUGGGCUGGCUCGUGGGUCAAAAUACUAUUUAAUUUAAAUUAAAAAUAUGUGAAUAUUGUAAAAGAAAAAGUAAUAAUUAAGAAUAGUAGUUAUUGAUUAAGUUUAAUAUCCUACAUAAUGUGUAACUUAUUAAGUGUUAAACAUUAAUCAUCAAGUAUUGAUAUUUCAUUUGUUAUUGUUAUUCAAUUUAAACUUAAAAUUAAAGGAAAUUGUAAGCAAAAAGAAUUAAAAAUAUAAAUAGUGAUUACUCAAUAAAUUUUACCUAGUUAUCUUAUAUAAAAUUUUACUAAUUUAGCAUUCAAUAGAGAAUAUUAAAAUUUUUAAUGAUAAAUAUAAAAAUUGCAUCCAUCAUGAAACGUUCAAACACUUGUUACAGCUACUCGAAAUUUAUUGCACAACAUUACCCAAAUUCAAAGCGAUAAUAUUUUUAAGUGAAUUUUAAAUAUUAUUAAUUUUUGAUAUAUAAAUUUUUGAUAUUGUUCAACUUACUAAAUUUGCAUAUGAAUUUAGAUGAACGUUGAUGUAAUGAAUUCAAAUAUGUUUGACAAUGUAUUAGUGGCGAAAUAUUAUAAACCAUCGUAGAAUUAUGUACUUUAUAUAAUAGUAUGUUAGAAGUGCGAAUGUAUUACCAUAUCUAUUAGUUCAAAUUGAAAAAGAAAAUCUGACAAAAAAUUGAUAAAAAUAAAGGGCUAGCCCGCCCCAACCCGCGAUCCUAUUAGGGAUGGGUUGGGCCAUAUAUUUUAAGGCCCUUUAAGGUGAAGGGGCGGCCCGUCCUAACCCAUCAAAUUCAUUGGCCCGUGAGGCUUGGGCCGGGUUGGGUUGGGCCAGCCCAUUUUGACAACUAUAGUUGAGUUAAUGAGUUUCAGAUAAAAAAUUUGUGUGGGCCCUGUAAAAAGGUUUGAGGAUGGGUGAUUUGUCUCCAUCCAAGUUAUGUGGUGGUUGAAACUUUUGAUUGCUCAUAAAUCCAGGGGUGUUCACGAUUUAGUUAAAAAUCAAAUCGAAUCGUGAAUCAAAUCAAACCAAUUAAAAAAAUCGAUAUUUGGUUUGGUUUUAAAUUUUAAAAAUCGAUACUUAUGUGGUUUGGUUUUGAUUUUACUCUAAAAUAACCGACAAAAUAACCAAAUCGAACCGAUAAAAAUUAUAUAUAUAUAUAUUAUUCAUGAAUAAAAAAUAAAGAUUUGUUACAUUUUAAAUUUUAAUCAUGAAUUUAACUUUAAUCAUAAUACUUUUAGUCAUAUGUCUUCAUCUAGUUGACAGUACGUUAUGAGAUUCUAAAUGAUUUUCGCACUUUGAAUAAUAAAUGUUACUAAUUAUGAAAAUUAUCUUGUUGUCUAUGGGAUUUUACAGGUGAGUUUCAUUGGACUAUAGAUAAUCACUAUUUUUGAGCUUUCUUUUUGAUUUCUAUUGAGCAAAAAAAAUUUAUGUGUUCACCUUUUGGGGGUUUAUUAUAUCGUUCUCUUAUAUAUAGUUUCUAAAUAAUUUUUGUAAACGCAUUCAUAUGGUGUUGUUCGUGGCUUUGCCUAAGUAUAAUACUAAAUUGACAUCUUAGUUUCAAGAUUAGGGCACAAUACUAUGUUUGAUUGGAUUUUUUUUUUAAAAUUUCAAGUUUUAUCAUUAGUUAAAGUUAAAAAUCGAAAAAACCAAAAAAUUAAAAAACCCGAACCAAACCGAACUAAACUGACAAGAACCAAACCGACGGUUAUUUUUUUAUGUUGGUUUGAUUUGGUUUUUGAAAUUUAAAAAUCGACCAAGUUGGUUUGGUUAUGAUUUUGACCAAUUACCGUCCCAAACCGACCCAUGAACACCCCUACUUAUGAUUGUUGAAAUUAUGACUUUAAACUUUCCUAUCCACAAUGUCUCCUUCCACUUUUUGAUUGACAAUUACUCUCUCCGUUUCAAAUUAUCCGUCUCAAAUUUUCUAAUUUGAUUUCUCAUUUUACUUGUCUUUUUUCAUUAAUUAAGACAAGACAAUUUUUUUCUCCAUUAUACCCUUAGUAAUUGAUUACUCCUUGUUAUUAGCAUUUAAUUAUCAAAUCUUGAAAAAUGUUGUAAAGACUUUGGUAAUCCUAUAAUCCUAAUUAUCCAUGCAAAAAUUGUUUUGGUAUCAGCCAUAUAAUAACUCUAUCAAUAUUGAAACUAACAACAUGACACAAUUAAUAGGAGUAAAAUGGUAAUAUUAUAUUACCAAUCAUUAUUUUUUAAUAGCAAUGUCAUCUUAAUUUGGGAUGAAUAAUUUGGGACGGAGGAAGUGUGUGAAAGUUAUAGGUUCUUAGGUCUAUUUUUGUCCACUGAUUUUUUUUUUCCGAACUACCACCAAGUUGUUGAAGAUGGUCCCCCUCGAUUGGAAUAAAAUGUUUUGGAGCUUUAGCAUAUUCUCCCUUUCUAAUUGUUCGAUUAAAAUAAUGUUUGGAUGACUGAAGUUGGUAUUGAAUUAUCUUGUGAUCUCCAUUUGCUUUAAUCAUCUAGAUCUCACCUACCCCCUAAAAUUCUUGACAAGUUCUGUUCAUUUUAUGUCAUCAGAACAUGAAAUUUAGGAAUUGUAAUUUGCGAUUUUUAAUUUUAGCAUAAUAUUUGUGACUGAUCAUAAUUUUCUAUUAUAAGUUGUGUAUCAUGGGAGGAAGAUUUAUAUAACGUUUGGAUAUGUUGGGUGUGUUUGGUAUGAGGAAAAUAUUUUUCAGAAAAUGUUUAUCAAUUUUUUCAUGUUUGGUUGGCUUAAUUGUUUUGGAAAAUAUUUUUUCAAAUCAACUUAUUUUUCUCAAAUAUAAGGAAAAUGACUUCCCUUCAAAAAGUAAGGAAAACAUUUUCCAAAAUUUCCUUUCAACCUUACUCAUAAGUUGAAAUGUUCAUACAACUCUCAAAAUCCCUCACCCCUACUCCGAUCCCCAAUCCCUCACCCCCACCCCACCCCAUUCAAAAUAAAUAUUUUAAAUUUUUUUCUUACCUCAUCCCCUACCCAAAAUCCAAACACGUAACCUCCUUCCCCCCACCCUCCCCUAUCUAAAUUUUUUUUUUAAAUACAAACUUUUCUUACCCCCCCUUCGCCCAACCCCAACCAAUUCCCUCCCCUUCCCUCAAUUCUGCUCAUAUUCAUGAUGUUAGUGUUGUUUUACCUCUUUCUUUGGAUUCUAUUAGUGUGGUUCGCGAGUUCAUGGAUGCAUUCCCUACAAAUUUGCAUGGUAUGCCACCAGAUUAUUAUAUUUACUUUUCCAUUAAAGUCGAAUCAGGCACCAAGCCUAUUUCUGUUUUUAUUUAUAAGAUGUCCCCUGUCGAGUUGAAGAAAUUGGAAGAUCAGUUGCAGGAGUUGUUGGAUAAGUGAUUUAUCUGACCUAAUGUAUCACCUUGGGGUGCGCCUAUCUUGUUUGUGAAGAAAAAUAAUAGGUCUAUGCAUAUGUGUAUUGAUUAUCGGUAGUUGAAUAAGGUAAUGACUAAGAAUAAGGAUCCUGUUCCUCGUAUCAGCUUCAGGGUGUUGCGGUGUUUUCAAAGAUUGAUUUGAGAUUCGGGUAUCACCAGUUGAGGAUUAGGGCUUCAAAUAUCCUGACGAUAUCUUGUCAGACUCGAUAUGGUUAUUAUGAGUUCUUGGUCAUAACCUUUGGGUUGAAAAAUGCUCUAGCUACGUUCAUGGAGUUGAAGGAUUGGGCAUUUCGAUCGUAUCUUGAAUCAUUUGUUAUUGCAUUCAUAGAUUAUAUCUUGGUUUAUUCCAAGAGCGAGGACGAUUAUGUGGAGCAUCUGUGGAUUGUGCUUCAGAGAUUGAGGGAUGAGAAGUUGUAUGCUAAGUUCUCCAAGUAUGAGUUUUGGUUAGAGUCUUGUCUCUUUCUUGGGUUAUGUGGUGACUAAGGAUGGUAUUAUGGUUGAUCAAGUCAAGAUUACAACGGUUCUUGAUUGAUCUAGGCCUACUUUUGAUUUGGAGUUUUGUUGGCUUGGUAGGUUACCAUCAUUAUUUUGUUGAGGGUUUCUUAUCUAUUGCAGCUCCGGUGAUCAGGUUGACUGAGAAAAAGAUCUUUUUUAGUGGUUUGAUGCUUAUGAGGCAAGCUGUCAAAAGCUCAAGGAUUUGUUGACAUCUACUCCUAUCUUGACUUCACCCAAGGAGGGCGGGGUUUUACUGUCUUUUGUGAUACUUCAAAUGUUGGGUUAAAUAUUUUGUUGAUACAGGAGGGUAAGGUGAUUGCAUAUGCUUCUCGUUAGUUGAGACCCCAUGAGAAGAAUUACCCUACCCAUGAUUUGGAGUUUUGUGCGGUUGUUUUUUCUUUAAAGUUGUAGAGGCACUACUUGUAUAGAGUCCAUUGUAAGAUCUUCUCUGAUCAUUGUAUCCUUCAAUAUUUCUUCACCCAGUGAAAUCUUAAUAUGAGGCAGCAUCGAAUGUUUGAGCUGCUUAAGGAUUAUAAUUUGACCAUUCUCUAUUAUCCGGGCAAGGCUAAUGUGGUUGCGGAUGCCAUGAGCCAGAAGUCGACUAGCACGGGUAGCUUGGAGCAUCUUUUGACCCAAGAGAGGCCUUUGGCCAUAGAGGUUCAGUCUUUGGCUAACCAAAUGGUUAGGCUUGAUGUUUGGACAGUUGGGCAUAUUUUGGCAUUCAUGGAGGCUAGGUCUUCUUUGAUGAAGUAGAUUUAAGCUCAUCAGUUUGAUGAUGUUGGUUUGAGAUUGAUUUGGGAUAAGGUGAUGAAUGGUGAGGCUAAGGAAUCCCCCUUUAUUUAGAUGGCAUUUUGAAGAUUGAAGUUCGAGUUUGUGUACCAAGAGUAGGUGAUCGGAUUAGAUUGAUUUUAAAAGAGGCCCAUUGUUCUAAGUAUUCCAUCAAUCUGGGAAUGACUAAGAUGUAUCAUGAUUUGAGACAACAUUAUUGGUAGGGUGGUAUGAGGAUGGAUGUAGUGGACUUUGUAGCUCGUUGCCUGUGUUGCUAGCAGAUAAAGGCUGAGCAUUUGAGACCUGGUGGUUUGCUUCAGAGGUUACCCAUUCUCAAAUAAAAAUGGGAAUGGAUCACUAUAGAUCGUAUGACUGGGUUGCCUCAUACUUUUCAUACUUUUGAUCAUGUUUGGUUCGUCAUGGAUUGAUUGAUCAAAUUUGCUCAUUUCAUUCUGGUUUAGGUUUUAUUCAGUGCUGAGAGGUUGGCCCAUAUCUAUAUUUGUGAGAUAGUGCGUCUUCAUGGUGUGCUAAUGUCUAUUUUAUCUGGUUAAGGUUCAGUGUUAACAUUUCAUUUUUUGAAGAUAUUUCAGGAGGAGUUAGGGUACUCGGGUUUAUUUGGGUGCAAUAUUUCACUCCCAGACUAAUGGGCAAUCUAAGUGAAAUUCAAGUUUUGGAAGAUAUGCUCUGCGCGUGUGUGAUAAACUUUGGCGGUCAGUGGGAGCGAAAUCUAACUUUGGCGGAGUUUGUAUAUAAUAAUAGCUAUCAUUCCAAUAUUGAUAUGGCUCCUUUUGAGGCUUUAUAUGAGAGGCAUUGUCGCUCUCCAGUUGGUUGGUUUGAGGUUUUUGAUAUUAGACCUCAAGGUACGGUCUUACAUUGUGAGUCCACAGAUAGAGUUCUAGUUAUCUAGGAUAGACUCCAAGUGGCUCAAAGGAGGAAGAAGUGUUAUGCUGAUCUUUGACUUCGUACCUUGAAAUUUAGUGUUGGUGAUUGUGUUUUUCUUCGAGUUUCGCCCAUGAAGGGCGUGAUGAGGUUCAAGAAAAGGGGCAAGCUUAGUCUCAAAUAUAUUGGUCCAUUUGAGAUUGUUCGAACUAUUGGUGAUGUAGCUUAUGAGUUGGCUUUGCCCCAGGUUUAUCAGGUUUUCACCCAGAUUUUCAUGUUUCCAUACGUCGUCAUUACAUUCUAGAUAAGUCUUAUGUCAUUCGUUGGGAUGUAGUUAAGUUAGUUGAGAGGUUGACUUUUGUUGAGGAGCCAGUUUCCAUCCUAGCUAAAGAUGUCAGGCGGCUGCGUUCUAGAGUUAAUCCAGUGGUUAAGGUCCAGUAGAAUCAUCGACCUGUAGAUGAGGCUACAUAGGAGGUCGAGUCUGAUAUACGUAUUAGCUAUCCUAGCUUUCCGCGAGUUCAGUUUUUUUUCUGUUGCCUUUAGUUCGAGGACAAACUAGAUUUUUAGUAGUGGAUAAUGUAACAACUUGAUUUUUGAUGAUUCAUGCAAAAUAAUUGAUUUUGUGUGAUUUGACCAUUUAACCUCUCCCCGUGGUUGCUUUUUGGCAUUUCUGAGGUGUGAGGAUGAUCGUCAGAUGAAGAUACAAAUUGCACCAAUAGAUCUAGAACGUCGAUUUUUAUUGGUAACAUAGUUGGUAUGGUUUCAUGGCUAUUAAAUCACAUUUCGACUCUCGAUUUGAAAAGUUGUGAAAUUGAGUUUCUAGGACCAACUUUAUGAAAACGUCAUUCUUUCAAAAAUUUGAUAUCGUCGUUGAGUAUGUAGCAUCGAAUUUGUUAGGGUAUUAUAGUUCGUUUGAAUUUAUAAGAUUUUGGAUGAAUCCCGAGGGAUCUGCAAAGAUGGUGCAUCCGCGUUAGCGAUCAGCCAGUCGCAUACGCAAUUCAGUUGAUUAGCCCCAAGUGUCACGAAUGCGACAUCUCCGUCGUGAUCACGAGUCUCGCGUAUGUGAUAAAGUGUUUCAAUCGCAAUACCUACCAUCAUGCUAGGUACCGCAUACGCGAAACUGUCGCAUAUGCGAUGCCUGGGUCCUUUAAAUACCCAUGUCUCGCCAUUUUUCACCACUUUUGAUGGGUUUCACAUUUUUGAGCAAUUUUUUCUAUUUCUAAGCUUGGUUAAUGUUGAUAACACCUAUUUCAACUAUUUUUUUAAUGUUUAUUAGUUAAAUAUUGUUUUAAUGUGGAUUUAAAAGAGAAAUUUGGGGAUUUUGGUCCAGAAGGCCUAAAAAUUAUAUUUCUUUGAUUUAAACCCCGCUUUUUAGACUGUUUUCACUUGAAUGAGUUUCUAAUCUUAUAAUUAUCACUUUUUUCUCGAUUUUAUCAUCAAAACAACUUCAAAUUCUUGAUUUCAAAAUAAUGUUUUAGGGAUUUUAUCGAUAAAGCUUGAAAAUGGGUUUUUCUUGAUUUGAACCUCAUUUUAAACUUUUUUUCGCUUGGGUUUUCAAAUUGAUACUCCUUUGUGUAUGGGAAACAUGUUUUAAAAAUAAAAUUAUGAUUUUAUCCUUUUUUUGGAAACCCAUUUUGGGGUCCGUUUUGACCCCUACUAAAGAUAAGUAACAUGGGUAUUGUUGGAUUUCUUUUGAUGCGUGAAUUCUAUAUUUAUAUGUUUUAGUUGAUUCUAGGUUUUUUCGCGAAGGGGAAGCUUCGGAUUGAAGUCCUUUUGGACUGAUUUUCAACAUUUGAGGUAAGAUAUGACUUAGCUUUCUUCAGACUAGACUGGGUAGUUAUGUUGAUACAAAAUUAUGUUAAGAAUGUGGGAACUAAUCAUUAAAAUGGCUAUAAUUAUCGUGUUGUGCCCGUGUGAGGGACAAUAUAUGUAUUGAUGUAUUUGGUGAUUUUGAAACAGUAUUUGCUAUGUGUGACUAUAUGGGGUCCGAUAUGAUAUUAUUGGCCCUAUAUACUUGAAUUUUGUAGUAUCAUGUUUAAUGAAAAAGCCUAAUGUGGUACUAAUGGUGUAUUUUAAUGUAUUUCACUCUAUUGACAUAUGGUUUAUGUUGAAUUUUCAUGGAUGGUUGGAAAUAUUGAGUGGGUCAUUGGCUCACUUGGUUGGAUAUAAAAAUUCUCAUUUUGGUUGGUUGUGAGCAUUAUAUCCUCAUAUUAUGUACAUUUAUGAAACAUUGAUACCAUCGUGAAAAUUCUGAAAACAUUAGCUUUUUCUAACAGAAAAUAUGACAUUUUUAAAACCCCUCUACUGAAGGAUGUGCCAAAGAGGAAAUAUGGACAUUGUAUUGGAUAUGGAUUUCAUAUGGGUUGACGAACCCCUCAUGGGUCCUACAUCAGGAAGCUUUAGCUCCGUAGGUGUAUACGGAGGUUGUGAGAUGACUUCGUGCAUCAUCAUCACCAUCUUCAUUGCAUAUGUACUUAUGUUGUGUUAUGUCUGUGUUGUGUUAUCUUCCUUGAUGUGAUUACCUGUUUUUAAGUAUACUCUUCCCCAUACUUGUAUGUGUAAUAUCUGAAUACAUGUAUUUUCUUUGUUGUGUUUACUUGUUAUAUAUAUAUGUGAUUAAUAUAGAACGGUUAGUGGAGACAGUGUGAGCUACCGUUUGGGACAUUUUCUAAUUGCAGGUGACUUACCUAUAUUAUGUAUUUUAUAUGCUUUAUAUUUUACUUUACUCAGCCGGCCUAUGAUACUUAUUGAGUACAAGUUGACUAUACUCACCCCUACUAUGCUCUUUUGGUGCAGAUCAUGAUUCGAGUGCUCCUCAUGGCGGUUGAUUCGAGUGACUUGUAGAGCUAUUCGAGGUAGUGGCUGGAUUCUUUCAUCUAGAGUUGACUACUACCUUUUUCUUGUAUAGACUAUGUAUUUAUUUUGUUCAGAGACAGAGUUAUUCCUAUUUUGGUUAUCUUAUAUAUUUGAUCUCGAGUUGUACUAGUUAUGUUCUUACGCUGUGAACCAGAUUUUAGGAUUUGGUAUGACAUCUCGAUUAUGUUUCUCCGCAUUUAUUACAAAUUGUAUGUUCGACUUCAUUCUAGAAGCCUUGUCUUGGGUUUUAGGGCUAUUUCCCUUUUUAUAUCAAUUUGGUUGAUGGGAUUACUUGUCAAAGCUUGCCGUGACAAGUGCUAUCACAACCCUUGGUUUUCGAGUCGUAACAAAAACACUCUUUAUGUACCGUAUUGACACCCAAUUUAACUCUCCGUUCUUAAAAUUAACGUAUUUCGGCUUCUUGAUCAGUAAAGGACAAUGAAUAGAAUUUUUGCACCUUUUUUUUACAAUUGUUGACAAAUUAUUAAUAAUUGUUCUUAUUUUAGAAUUUUAUUAAUUUAUUAUCACAUUUUUCACUUUUCAUAAUUUAUUCAUAAUUCUCCAUAUAUUAGAAUUUUAAUCAAUUUAUUAUCUUAUUAAUAUUUUUCACAAUCAUCUGCUCACGCACACAACAUGACAUCAUAUUUUUUAUAAUCUACAAUGCAUUCACAUUUUGAAGUUAGUUAUAUUUUCAAUUUUUUUAUAAUUUUUUUGUAGUUAGAUAUCAAUAUCUAUAAUUUGUAUAUUAUUUAAUACAAUCCGCAAGUGAUAAGUCGAAUCAAUAAUAAUUCAAUCAAGUCAAGGUCUUGUCACAUUUAACAAGACUACACAAUGUCUUUGUCCUUUGAAUAAUAUCUUUACAUAUUUAUUAAAAAGAUGAAAAAAAUCAUUGGACAAUAAUUUGUGGUCUAAAUCAUACUUCAAGGGGACAAGAGGGUUUAGUGUUUUAUUUUUUGGAUAAAAAGAGGGGUCCUUUUGUAUUAUAAAUGGAGGAAAGGGAUUUUAGUUGUUGAUACAGACAAAGACACACGCAAAAAAUUAGAUUUCACUCUCAUAAACUCACGCCUAAAUCAUUCAUUUCCUUUUUUCCUCUCUCUAUUUUGUCCUUCACUGUGGCAGCCCCACCGCCACUGCUCCUUCUCUAGCGAAGCUAUUUUGGAGUACAUCAACACCACCACAAAACUAUUAUUAAAUGACCCCUCUUCCCUUUUUCCUCUCCCUUCUUGUCUCUCCUUCUCUCCUCUAUUCCUUCACCGUCACUGGCUCACCGAAAGUGUUAACCGACGAGCUCCAAUGCACCACUGUCGUUGUUGUUUGUCCCUCUUCCCCUUUCUCUUUUUGCCAUAUUUUUUUCAAAAUUGCCAGAUCUGGCCAUUUUCAUGCUUCUCCAGCAUUGCUUUGACAUUUACCAUGAAAGCAAUGUCUCCCCCUCUGUCAAGACUCAAGUCGAGGCCUUCCAAACCAUGAAGAACCGGGCACUCUUCUAAAUCUGGUAAUCAUGCACAAUAUUCAUAUAGUAUAAGAAAAUUUGCGAAAAAUAAUACAUGACGAAACCAUGGCCAAUCUCAUAAUCUUGAACAAUUUAAAAAGGAAAAUUUUGAAUAUUCUAAACAUGUGACAACCGUCUGCGAAAUCUCUAACAUUACAUUAGCCAUCAUACGUCUACGACAAAUCUGGGACAAGGCCCCCAGUAGAACAUAAAAAAGAAAGAAACAAUAAUAUCUGAAAACUGGCCUUUCGAAAGAGAGAAGGCUCGCUAACUGCAACUUCUAACACACAUUGAUCUACUGCUAUAUGAGACCGUGGAACUAUGCCUCAACUUUUUAGUCUUGAGAGGGGGAAUUAGAAGAUAGAACAUGGGGAUAGAUAGAGUAAGGUUCUUAUUCUUUUACAAAAUAAGAAAUCUAAAUUAGCGGCUAGGAUAGGGAUAUACCUAGAAUCCUUGAUUGGUUCAUUACUGGAUGAAAUAUAAAUGAGUUUAGCUUAGUUCUCACAUCCCUGAUCAACGAUGUAGUUGUGGUUCUAAGUUAGAUAGGUGAUUAGAGGCUUGAGAGACCAUGAUCAUAAUAGUAAUCCCAUGAAAUAACUAUAAAGAUAAGAAAUCUAAUGAAUGAAGUUCAGUAGCAUUGUAUGAUUGUUUAGACUGCUUUAACCACAGGUUUUCAUCUGUUGAUUGUCCAAAGUCUUUACUUUCCUGCAUUAUUUUACUUUACUUUUAGUUUAUAUAUGCUCAAACUCUUUUUAUUACGAUUGUACUGAUUAAUCUAGAUAGUUAAACUUGAAUUGAAUAGUUGUUAAAAUAAGUCUAUAAGGGAUCGAUAUUUUGCUCUAUGUAAGGCCAUUGUAUUACUCGGUGAGACCAUGUACACUUGUGUGUGUGCUUGGCGCAAUAAGUUUUUGGCGCCGUUGUUGGGGACUUGUAAAUUGGCAACUAUUUUUGCUUUAGUUUUACUUUUUAGAUAUUUUUGGGGCUUUACUCUUGGGCUUUGUAUUGAAUUUGCACGAAACAGGUUUAUAGAGUAGUAGGAUAGCAAGGGAUAGGGAAUUCAUUGAACCAAGCCCCAAACCCAAGUAAUGCUUUCAUCAACGGAGGAGAGAAGCAAUCCUUCUCCCUCAUAUCUCACAAUUUCAAGAGGAACAAGACAAUCCUUCUAUAAUGGAUGACGAUCAACCAGCUUGCAGGAUAAUUCGCGAAGUAGCAAUCCCACUUUAGAUAAAUCUGACCUCCCUUUUUCAGAAAUCAACUGCUGGGGGUAAUUUUGAGCUGAACAGAAUAUAAUGCAGUUUUUGAUCAGUAGUGGACAAUCCACGGGGCUUUCACAUGAAGAUCCACAAGUCCAUAUACAGAACUUUCUGGAGAUUAGUGACACAUUCAUCCCUAUGGGUGUGUCAACUAAUUAUGUUAGGCUGACACUAUUCCCCUUUUCACUAUUGGGGGAAGUGAAAAAGUGGUUGAAUGCUGAGCUAGCUAGUUUAAUCACAACACGGGAUGACUUAGCCCAGAAAUUUCUCAUCCGAUUUAUCCUAUUUGGCAAGGCUGCAAGGCUUCGUGUUGAGAUUAUAUGCUUCAAAUAGAACGCAGAUGAGAAUUUAUAUCAUGCUUGGGAGCAGUUCAAAGCUCUUCUUCGAGACUGGUCACACCAUUAACAGUCCAACGAGAUAUUAGCUCACACUUUUGUUGAGGCACUUGACCAUAACAUAAAAAUUUUUCUACAUUCAACUAUAGGUGGUCAAGCUUUGGAAUUGACGUAUGAUGAGCUAUAUACCUUGGUGAACCGAAUUGCAUAAGUAAAUCCUGAGUGGCAUUCUAUCUCAAGAAAUGCUACAAAGAAGGUUG